CUGUCUCUUGCUUCAACAUUGUUUGGACGGAACCG
Molecule: non-coding RNA, 35 nt
Organism: Myotis lucifugus (little brown bat)
Lineage: Eukaryota; Metazoa; Chordata; Mammalia; Chiroptera; Vespertilionidae
Source: Rfam